Zingiber officinale is the source of this 246-nucleotide long non-coding RNA. RefSeq lists it as uncharacterized. The record is from RefSeq and is a predicted model, not a curated record. The transcript has 4 exons. NCBI's taxonomy places the organism in Eukaryota, Viridiplantae, Streptophyta, Magnoliopsida, Zingiberales, Zingiberaceae.
CUAGGAAAUCGUAAUUUGAUACCUUAUAACCUCCCGCCAAACCUUCUUAGAUUAGAUCUUAGCAAUAAUCAAUUUGGUGGAAGCAUACCCUAUUCAGUUUCUCAUAUGGCCAAAUUGGAGCUUCUAAAUCUUGCUCACAAUCAACUCCGUGGGCGUCUGGAUGAUAUUUUUCAAGGCCUCUCCAAACUCACAACAAUGGACCUGUCUUACAAUUCUCUUAAUGGUACCCUUCCACAAAGCUUCAGA